UCCCUGGUGGCUCAGACGGUAAAGCGUCUGCCUGCAACGCGGGAGACCCAGGUUUGAUUCCUGGGUCGGGAA
This 72-nucleotide transfer RNA is filed under the name Ovis aries (sheep). It matches the Rfam family "tRNA". From Rfam's summary of the family: Transfer RNA (tRNA) molecules are approximately 80 nucleotides in length. The record is from Rfam by way of RNAcentral. Lineage: Eukaryota; Metazoa; Chordata; Mammalia; Artiodactyla; Bovidae.